GGGCACGCAGGCGGUUUGCCAAGCGUCCGAUGACAGCUCUCGGCUUCACUGAGAGAGGAGUGGAUGAACUGGCAGACUUGAGGGCCAGAGAGGAACCGAGAAUUCCGGGUGGAGUGGUGAAAUGCGUAGAUAUCAGGAGGAACACCUGCGGUGUAGACGGCUUUCUGGACCAUUGUUGACGCUGAGACACGAAAGCGUGGGUAGCAAACAGGAUUAGAUACCCUGGUAGUCCAUGCCGUAAACGUUGGGCGCUAGGUGUGGGGUCCAUUCCACGGGUUCCGUGCCGCAGCUAACGCAUUAAGCGCCCCGCCUGUGGAGUACGGCCGCAAGGCUAAAACUCAAAGGAAUUGACGGGGGCCCGCACAAGCGGCGGAGCAUGUGGAUUAAUUCGAUGCAACGCGAAGAACCUUACCAAGGCUUGACAUGCACCGGACGACUGCAGAGAUGUGGUUUCCCUUUGUGGCUGGUGUGCAGGUGGUGCAUGGUUGUCGUCAGCUCGUGUCGUGAGAUGUUGGGUUAAGUCCCGCAACGAGCGCAACCCUCGUUCCAUGUUGCCAGCGGGUUAUGCCGGGGACUCAUGGGAGACUGCCGGGGUCAACUCGGAGGAAGGUGGGGAUGACGUCAAAUCAUCAUGCCCCUUAUGUCUUGGGCUUCACGCAUGCUACAAUGGCUGGUACAGAGGGCUGCAAUACCGUGAGGUGGAGCGAAUCCCUUAAAACUGGUCUCAGUUCGGAUUGGGGUCUGCAACUCGACCCCAUGAAGUCGGAGUCGCUAGUAAUC
This 780-nucleotide ribosomal RNA is filed under the name uncultured Termite group 1 bacterium. RNAcentral's name for it is "bacterial SSU rRNA". It matches the Rfam family "Bacterial small subunit ribosomal RNA", at positions 565 to 1343 of the family's 1533-position model. Lineage: Bacteria; Pseudomonadati; Elusimicrobiota. The record is from RNAcentral.